UAGGGAAUCUUCCGCAAUGGGCGAAAGCCUGACGGAGCAACGCCGCGUGAGUGAUGAAGGUCUUCGGAUCGUAAAACUCUGUUAUUAGGGAAGAACAAAUGUGUAAGUAACUAUGCACAUCUUGACGGUACCUAAUCAGAAAGCCACGGCUAACUACGUGCCAGCAGCCGCGGUAAUACGUAGGUGGCAAGCGUUAUCCGGAAUUAUUGGGCGUAAAGCGCGCGUAGGCGGUUUUUUAAGUCUGAUGUGAAAGCCCCCGGCUCAACCGGGGAGGGUCAUUGGAAACUGGUUGACUUGAGUGCAGAAGAGGAGAGUGGAAUUCCAUGUGUAGCGGUGAAAUGCGUAGAUAUAUGGAGGAACACCAGUGGCGAAGGCGACUCUCUGGUCUGUAACUGACGCUGAGGUUCGAAAGCGUGGGUAGCAAACAGG
This 429-nucleotide ribosomal RNA is filed under the name Bacteroidota bacterium. RNAcentral's name for it is "Bacteroidetes bacterium partial 16S ribosomal RNA". It matches the Rfam family "Bacterial small subunit ribosomal RNA", at positions 355 to 776 of the family's 1533-position model. Lineage: Bacteria; Pseudomonadati; Bacteroidota. The record is from RNAcentral.